UUAAGCGACUAAGCGUACACGGUGGAUGCCCUGGCAGUCAGAGGCGAUGAAGGACGUGCUAAUCUGCGAUAAGCGUCGGUAAGGUGAUAUGAACCGUUAUAACCGGCGAUUUCCGAAUGGGGAAACCCAGUGUGUUUCGACACACUAUCAUUAACUGAAUCCAUAGGUUAAUGAGGCGAACCGGGGGAACUGAAACAUCUAAGUACCCCGAGGAAAAGAAAUCAACCGAGAUUCCCCCAGUAGCGGCGAGCGAACGGGGAGCAGCCCAGAGCCUGAAUCAGUGUGUGUGUUAGUGGAAGCGUCUGGAAAGGCGCGCGAUACAGGGUGACAGCCCCGUACACAAAAAUGCACAUGCUGUGAGCUCGAUGAGUAGGGCGGGACACGUGGUAUCCUGUCUGAAUAUGGGGGGACCAUCCUCCAAGGCUAAAUACUCCUGACUGACCGAUAGUGAACCAGUACCGUGAGGGAAAGGCGAAAAGAACCCCGGCGAGGGGAGUGAAAAAGAACCUGAAACCGUGUACGUACAAGCAGUGGGAGCACGCUUAGGCGUGUGACUGCGUACCUUUUGUAUAAUGGGUCAGCGACUUAUAUUCUGUAGCAAGGUUAACCGAAUAGGGGAGCCGAAGGGAAACCGAGUCUUAACUGGGCGUUAAGUUGCAGGGUAUAGACCCGAAACCCGGUGAUCUAGCCAUGGGCAGGUUGAAGGUUGGGUAACACUAACUGGAGGACCGAACCGACUAAUGUUGAAAAAUUAGCGGAUGACUUGUGGCUGGGGGUGAAAGGCCAAUCAAACCGGGAGAUAGCUGGUUCUCCCCGAAAGCUAUUUAGGUAGCGCCUCGUGAAUUCAUCUCCGGGGGUAGAGCACUGUUUCGGCAAGGGGGUCAUCCCGACUUACCAACCCGAUGCAAACUGCGAAUACCGGAGAAUGUUAUCACGGGAGACACACGGCGGGUGCUAACGUCCGUCGUGAAGAGGGAAACAACCCAGACCGCCAGCUAAGGUCCCAAAGUCAUGGUUAAGUGGGAAACGAUGUGGGAAGGCCCAGACAGCCAGGAUGUUGGCUUAGAAGCAGCCAUCAUUUAAAGAAAGCGUAAUAGCUCACUGGUCGAGUCGGCCUGCGCGGAAGAUGUAACGGGGCUAAACCAUGCACCGAAGCUGCGGCAGCGACGCUGAUGCGUUGUUGGGUAGGGGAGCGUUCUGUAAGCCUGCGAAGGUGUGCUGUGAGGCAUGCUGGAGGUAUCAGAAGUGCGAAUGCUGACAUAAGUAACGAUAAAGCGGGUGAAAAGCCCGCUCGCCGGAAGACCAAGGGUUCCUGUCCAACGUUAAUCGGGGCAGGGUGAGUCGACCCCUAAGGCGAGGCCGAAAGGCGUAGUCGAUGGGAAACAGGUUAAUAUUCCUGUACUUGGUGUUACUGCGAAGGGGGGACGGAGAAGGCUAUGUUGGCCGGGCGACGGUUGUCCCGGUUUAAGCGUGUAGGCUGGUUUUCCAGGCAAAUCCGGAAAAUCAAGGCUGAGGCGUGAUGACGAGGCACUACGGUGCUGAAGCAACAAAUGCCCUGCUUCCAGGAAAAGCCUCUAAGCAUCAGGUAACAUCAAAUCGUACCCCAAACCGACACAGGUGGUCAGGUAGAGAAUACCAAGGCGCUUGAGAGAACUCGGGUGAAGGAACUAGGCAAAAUGGUGCCGUAACUUCGGGAGAAGGCACGCUGAUAUGUAGGUGAAGUCCCUUGCGGAUGGAGCUGAAAUCAGUCGAAGAUACCAGCUGGCUGCAACUGUUUAUUAAAAACACAGCACUGUGCAAACACGAAAGUGGACGUAUACGGUGUGACGCCUGCCCGGUGCCGGAAGGUUAAUUGAUGGGGUCAGCGCAAGCGAAGCUCUUGAUCGAAGCCCCGGUAAACGGCGGCCGUAACUAUAACGGUCCUAAGGUAGCGAAAUUCCUUGUCGGGUAAGUUCCGACCUGCACGAAUGGCGUAAUGAUGGCCAGGCUGUCUCCACCCGAGACUCAGUGAAAUUGAACUCGCUGUGAAGAUGCAGUGUACCCGCGGCAAGACGGAAAGACCCCGUGAACCUUUACUAUAGCUUGACACUGAACAUUGAGCCUUGAUGUGUAGGAUAGGUGGGAGGCUUUGAAGUGUGGACGCCAGUCUGCAUGGAGCCGACCUUGAAAUACCACCCUUUAAUGUUUGAUGUUCUAACGUUGACCCGUGAUCCGGGUUGCGGACAGUGUCUGGUGGGUAGUUUGACUGGGGCGGUCUCCUCCUAAAGAGUAACGGAGGAGCACGAAGGUUGGCUAAUCCUGGUCGGACAUCAGGAGGUUAGUGCAAUGGCAUAAGCCAGCUUGACUGCGAGCGUGACGGCGCGAGCAGGUGCGAAAGCAGGUCAUAGUGAUCCGGUGGUUCUGAAUGGAAGGGCCAUCGCUCAACGGAUAAAAGGUACUCCGGGGAUAACAGGCUGAUACCGCCCAAGAGUUCAUAUCGACGGCGGUGUUUGGCACCUCGAUGUCGGCUCAUCACAUCCUGGGGCUGAAGUAGGUCCCAAGGGUAUGGCUGUUCGCCAUUUAAAGUGGUACGCGAGCUGGGUUUAGAACGUCGUGAGACAGUUCGGUCCCUAUCUGCCGUGGGCGCUGGAGAACUGAGGGGGGCUGCUCCUAGUACGAGAGGACCGGAGUGGACGCAUCACUGGUGUUCGGGUUGUCAUGCCAAUGGCACUGCCCGGUAGCUAAAUGCGGAAGAGAUAAGUGCUGAAAGCAUCUAAGCACGAAACUUGCCCCGAGAUGAGUUCUCCCUGACUCCUUGAGAGUCCUGAAGGAACGUUGAAGACGACGACGUUGAUAGGCCGGGUGUGUAAGCGCAGCGAUGCGUUGAGCUAACCGGUACUAAUGAACCGUGAGGCUUAACCUU
RNAcentral lists this ribosomal RNA (2902 nucleotides) under Escherichia coli. RNAcentral describes it as "23S ribosomal RNA". It matches the Rfam family "Bacterial large subunit ribosomal RNA". Lineage: Bacteria; Pseudomonadati; Pseudomonadota; Gammaproteobacteria; Enterobacterales; Enterobacteriaceae. The record is from RNAcentral.